RNAcentral lists this small nuclear RNA (107 nucleotides) under Octodon degus (degu). The record is from RNAcentral. Lineage: Eukaryota; Metazoa; Chordata; Mammalia; Rodentia; Octodontidae.
GUGCUCGCUUCGGCAGCACAUAUACUAAAAUUGAAAGGAUACAGAGAAGAUUAGCAUGGCCCCUGUGCAAGGACGACACACAAAUUCAUGAAGCAUUCCACAUUUUU